CGAUGAAGAACGCAGCGAAAUGUGAUAAGUAAUGUGAAUUGCAGAAUUCAGUGAAUCAUCGAAUCUUUGAACGCACAUUGCGCCCGCCAGUAUUCUGGCGGGCAUGCCUGUCCGAGCGUCAUUUCAACCCUCGAACCCCUCCGGGGGAUCGGCGUUGGGGAUCGGGACCCCUCACACGGGUGCCGGCCCCGAAAUACAGUGGCGGUCUCGCCGCAGCCUCUCCUGCGCAGUAGUUUGCACAACUCGCACCGGGAGCGCGGCGCGUCCACGUCCGUAAAACACCCAACUUUCUGAAAUGUUGACCUCGGAUCAGGUAGGAAUACCCGCUGAACUUAAGCAUAUCAAUAAGCGGAGGA
This 356-nucleotide ribosomal RNA is filed under the name Trichoderma asperellum. RNAcentral describes it as "eukaryotic LSU rRNA". The stretch from base 1 to 121 matches the Rfam family "5.8S ribosomal RNA", at positions 34 to 154 of the family's 154-position model. Lineage: Eukaryota; Fungi; Ascomycota; Sordariomycetes; Hypocreales; Hypocreaceae. The record is from RNAcentral.